AUUAAGCAGUUGGAGGUGAGAGUGGGGUCAAAUAUUCCCAGGUAAUUGGCAUUCCCACCUCUUUCUUCUUUCAGUUACCAAUCCAAGAGCCUCCAGUGACCACAUCAUGGGAUCUACUUGCCCAAAUUCUGUGCUAUCUGAAUGUCUCUCAAGUAUUUAUAUGGCUAAAGCUUACAACAUCAAGGCCUAUUCAAAGGCUUUUAUUUGUGAGGUGUUAUUUGCCAAGCAGGCUGGCAUUGUUUGGAAUGUGGAACAUAUGGAUUUGUCUACCCUCCUCCAUUGGCCUUCCUGGCAGGAGAUCUCCUGUGAUUUGCACUGACUCUGACAGGCUGAGCCAGGUUGCCCAUUCCAUCCAGCCAAGCAGAGAAAGGAAUUGUGACAACUUGCUAUCUUAACAAGAUCUUGGAAAUAGGGGAUCCAGCAUCAUUUCCUUCUCAGGAACCUCUGAUUUGUUCAAGUAUGUUUGAACUGUCUGUAUGUGCUUUUGUCUGGACAAGAGAUGCAGAAAGGACAUUGUGUAAGUGCAGGGAAAACUGAUAGAAAGAUGGCGCUUUCCCUUCUCAACAGUGGGUGCCCAUACUGAUAGGAAAAUUGAGGACAGUUUAUAUCCCACUGGACAUGGAGAAAAGAAGCAGGAUAGAUUCAGGCAGUUUUUCUAGCUCUUCCACUGAGCAUGCUGGAGGAAGGAAAAAUCAAUCAGCCACUUUUUGAAGAUCUUGUAAUUAAGGAAGUUCAGAGGCAGAGCCUGGCAGGGAGGCCUCAGGCACUGGCUAGAUUCCUUUAUUCCCGGCAAAGUGUCAAUGAUGUAUCAGAUUCCAUUUUGGGGCAGUGGGGCUAGACAGUAACCCUGCCAUUGGAAACGUUACAAAUCAAAGUAAUUGACACAUGAAUGGACAGUAAACUACGUUGCCCAGGAGAAUAUUCUGCUGAAAGCAGAAUUUGUUUAUCUUAUCAUUCACUACCAAAAAGCUGCUCUGGGAAGAUGGAUGCAUUUCUCUUGGAUGCAAAUCAUGGGGCUUGCCCUAGAACUGAUUUCUGAGUCUCAAAAGUAUAGAGUUGCUCAUUUUCUUUGUGUUCUUAAGGUUACCUGAGAGUCUAGAUUCUAGAGCCCAAAGCUUUGUGAUGAUUUCAGAUGUGGCAACUGUGUUUGGUCUUCCUCUCUCCACUAAGGUCAAACCAUAUUUCUGGUGAAAAGAUCUUAAGAGUUCUUCAGUAGAAAGGAUCCAUAGGAUAUAACAACCUCUCUGAAACCUGACCUUUGACAGGCAAAUGACUGAAAUGUGCAGGAUGGAUGCUUACAGAUGUAAAACAUAAAAUGG
This 1319-nucleotide long non-coding RNA is filed under the name Phascolarctos cinereus (koala). RNAcentral describes it as "lncRNA (ENSPCIG00000036203.1)". The record is from RNAcentral. Lineage: Eukaryota; Metazoa; Chordata; Mammalia; Diprotodontia; Phascolarctidae.